UUUAAAGCGAAUAAGAGCACAUGGUGAAUGCCUAGGGUCUGAGAGGCGACGAAGGACGUGGUAAGCUGCGAUAAGCUACGGGGAGCUGCACACGAGCGCAAUAUCCGUAGAUUUCCGAAUGGGACAACCUGGUAUACUGAAGGUAUAUCACUCUAGUGAUAGAGAGCCAACCCGGGGAACUGAAACAUCUAAGUACCCGGAGGAAAAGAAAAUAAUAAUGAUUCCCUGAGUAGUGGCGAGCGAACGGGGAAGAGCCCAAACCACGGGAGCGUGCUCCUGUGGGGUUGUAGGACUACUUUUAGAAAUUGUCGAUAAUUUGAAUCAGUUGGAAAUCUGGGCCAUAGCAGGUGAAAGCCCUGUAGAAGUACCUUGACAAGGACGUGUAGUAUCCUGAGUAGCGCGGGACCGGAGGAAUCUUGCGUGAAACUGCCAGCACCAUCUGGUAAGGCUAAAUACUCCUCAGACACCGAUAGUGAACCAGUACCGUAAGGGAAAGGUGAAAAGUACCCUGAAUAAGGGAGUGAAAUAGUACCUGAAACCGUGUGCUUACAAGCGGUCGGAGCUUCACAGCGAUGUGUGAGUGACGGCGUGCCUUUUGCAUAAUGAGCCUACGAGUUACUCCUCACUGGCGAGGUUAAGUUUCUGAGAAACGGAGCCGUAGCGAAAGCGAGUCCGAAUAGGGCGACUUAGUCAGUGGGGGUAGACGCGAAACUUUGUGAUCUAUCCAUGAGCAGGUUGAAGGUUUGGUAACACACACUGGAGGACCGAACCCGUUGACGUUGAAAAGUCUUGGGAUGACUUGUGGAUAGGGGUGAAAGGCCAAUCAAACUGAGAGAUAGCUCGUUCUCCCCGAAAUGUUUUUAGGAACAGCGUCGUAUUAUAGGUAUCAUAGAGGUAGAGCUACUGAUUGGGCUAGGGGGCUUCAUCGCCUACCAAACCCUGACAAACUCCGAAUGCUAUGAUAUUUUUGCGGCAGUGAGGCUGUGGGCGCUAAGGUCCAUGGCCGAGAGGGAAAUAACCCAGAUUAGCAACUAAGGUCCCUAAUACGUAGUUAAGUUGAACAAACGAGGUGGGGCUUCUAUAACAGCCAGGAUGUUUGCUUGGAAGCAGCAAUUCAUUUAAAGAGUGCGUAACAGCUCACUGGUCGAGAGGCCCUGCACGGAAAAUGAUCGGGCAUCAAACUACGAACCGAAGUUCUAAAUUCCAGCUUGCUGGAGUGGUAGGGGAGCAUUCUAAACUGCGUUGAAGCUGUAUGGUGAUGUAUGGUGGAGCGUUUAGAAAAGAAAAUGUAGGCAUAAGUAACGAUAAAAGAAGUGAAAAACUUCUUCGCCGUAAGACUAAGGUUUCCUGAUCAACGCUAAUCGGAUCAGGGUUAGUCGGGUCCUAAGGCAAACCCGAAAGGGGUAGUCGAUGGAAAGCAGGUUAAUAUUCCUGCACCUGCUAUACGUUAAAAGUGACGGAUUGCUGUAGUCUGUGCGUACUGACGGAAAUGUGCGCUGAGAGGAACCUUCGGGGGAAUCGAACAGGUGAAAGUGGUUCCAAGAAAAGCGAGUAUAGCAGCUCGUACCGUAAACCGACACAGGUAGUCGAGAUGAGUAUUCUAAGGCGCUCGGGUGAGCCGUGGAGAAGGAACUAGGCAAAUUGAUGCUGUAACUUCGGGAUAAGGCAUUCCAUAGUAAUAUGGACACAGUAAAAUGGUUCAACCAACUGUUUAACAAAAACAUAGGGCCCUGCAAAAUCGAAAGAUGACGUAUAGAGCCUGAUACCUGCCCGGUGCCGGAAGGUUAAGGAAGGGUGUUCGUCGCAAGACAAAGCACUUGACUGAAGCCCCGGUAAACGGCGGCCGUAACUAUAACGGUCCUAAGGUAGCGAAAUUCCUUGUCGGGUAAGUUCCGACCUGCACGAAUGGUCUAAUGAGUUGAACGCUGUCUCCUCCACGAGCCCGGUGAAAUUGUAGUAUCGGUGAAGAUGCCGGUUACCCGUCACGGGACGGAAAGACCCCAUGAACCUUCACUAUAGCUUUGCAUUGAUUUUGAGCAACCGAUGUGUAGGAUAGUUGGGAGACUGUGAAGUGGCUUCGCCAGGAGUCAUGGAGUCAACGUUGAAAUACCAACCUUCGUUUGCUUAGAACCUAAUCCCUUGCGGGAGACAGUGCAUGGUGGGUAGUUUGACUGGGGUGGUCGCCUCCUAAAAAGUAACGGAGGCUUGCAAAGGUUCCCUCAGUACGGUUGGUAAUCGUACAUAGAGCGUAUUAGUAUAAGGGAGCUUGACUGUGAGGCAUACAGGCCGAGCAGGGACGAAAGUCGGCUAAAGUGAUCCGGUGGUUCUGCAUGGAAGGGCCAUCGCUCAAAGGAUAAAAGGUACUCUGGGGAUAACAGGCUGAUCUCCCCCAAGAGCUCAUAUCGACGGGGAGGUUUGGCACCUCGAUGUCGGUUCGUCACAUCCUGGGGCUGGAGAAGGUCCCAAGGGUUCGGCUGUUCGCCGAUUAAAGUGGCACGUGAACUGGGUUCAGAACGUCGCAAGACAGUUCGGUCCCUAUCUGUGAUGGGCGUUAGUAAAUUGAGUGGACGUGACCUUAGUACGAGAGGACCGGGUCGCAUGUACCGCUGGUGUAUCAGUUGUGUCGCCAGAUGCAGUGCUGAGUAGCUACGUACAGCCAGGAUAAACGCUGAAAGCAUCUAAGCGUGAAACCUUCCAUAAGAUGAGUUUACUUUUAAGGGUCGUGGGAGACUACCACGUUGAUAGGCUAUAGGUGUAAAGGUGGUAACAUCAAAGCCGAGUAGUACUAAUUGCCCGUAAGCUUUAAUUU
This 2809-nucleotide ribosomal RNA is filed under the name Nodularia sp. LEGE 06071. RNAcentral's name for it is "23S ribosomal RNA". It matches the Rfam family "Bacterial large subunit ribosomal RNA". The record is from RNAcentral. Lineage: Bacteria; Bacillati; Cyanobacteriota; Cyanophyceae; Nostocales; Nodulariaceae.